GCGACCCCAGGAUGGGCGGGAUGACCCGCUGAGUUUAAGCAUAUCAAUAAGCGGAGGAAAAGAA
RNAcentral lists this ribosomal RNA (64 nucleotides) under Cyclopogon truncatus. RNAcentral describes it as "partial 26S ribosomal RNA". It matches the Rfam family "Eukaryotic large subunit ribosomal RNA", at positions 1 to 63 of the family's 3401-position model. Lineage: Eukaryota; Viridiplantae; Streptophyta; Magnoliopsida; Asparagales; Orchidaceae. The record is from RNAcentral.